Molecule: ribosomal RNA, 580 nt
Filed under: Colletotrichum gloeosporioides
Lineage: Eukaryota; Fungi; Ascomycota; Sordariomycetes; Glomerellales; Glomerellaceae
Description: eukaryotic LSU rRNA
Rfam family: 5.8S ribosomal RNA (bases 207-360)
Source: RNAcentral
CCUUCCGUAGGGGGGACCUGCGGAGGGAUCAUUACUGAGUUUACGCUCUACAACCCUUUGUGAACAUACCUAUAACUGUUGCUUCGGCGGGUAGGGUCUCCGUGACCCUCCCGGCCUCCCGCCCCCGGGCGGGUCGGCGCCCGCCGGAGGAUAACCAAACUCUGAUUUAACGACGUUUCUUCUGAGUGGUACAAGCAAAUAAUCAAAACUUUUAACAACGGAUCUCUUGGUUCUGGCAUCGAUGAAGAACGCAGCGAAAUGCGAUAAGUAAUGUGAAUUGCAGAAUUCAGUGAAUCAUCGAAUCUUUGAACGCACAUUGCGCCCGCCAGCAUUCUGGCGGGCAUGCCUGUUCGAGCGUCAUUUCAACCCUCAAGCUCUGCUUGGUGUUGGGGCCCUACAGCUGAUGUAGGCCCUCAAAGGUAGUGGCGGACCCUCCCGGAGCCUCCUUUGCGUAGUAACUUUACGUCUCGCACUGGGAUCCGGAGGGACUCUUGCCGUAAAACCCCCCAAUUUUCCAAAGGUUGACCUCGGAUCAGGUAGGAAUACCCGCUGAACUUAAGCAUAUCAAAGUCCGGAGGAA